UUAGAGUUUGAUCCUGGCUCAGGAUGAACGCUAGCUACAGGCUUAACACAUGCAAGUCGAGGGGCAGCAUGAACUUAGCUUGCUAAGUUUGAUGGCGACCGGCGCACGGGUGAGUAACACGUAUCCAACCUUCCGUUUACUCAGGGAUAGCCUUUCGAAAGAAAGAUUAAUACCUGAUAGUAUGGUGAGAUUGCAUGAUAACACCAUUAAAGAUUUAUUGGUAAACGAUGGGGAUGCGUUCCAUUAGGUAGUAGGCGGGGUAACGGCCCACCUAGCCUGCGAUGGAUAGGGGUUCUGAGAGGAAGGUCCCCCACAUUGGAACUGAGACACGGUCCAAACUCCUACGGGAGGCAGCAGUGAGGAAUAUUGGUCAAUGGGCGAGAGCCUGAACCAGCCAAGUAGCGUGAAGGAUGAAGGUCCUACGGAUUGUAAACUUCUUUUAUACGGGAAUAAAGUUUCCUACGUGUAGGAUUUUGUAUGUACCGUAUGAAUAAGCAUCGGCUAACUCCGUGCCAGCAGCCGCGGUAAUACGGAGGAUGCGAGCGUUAUCCGGAUUUAUUGGGUUUAAAGGGAGCGCAGACGGGAGAUUAAGUCAGUUGUGAAAGUUUGCGGCUCAACCGUAAAAUUGCAGUUGAUACUGGUUUCCUUGAGUGCAGUUGAGGCAGGCGGAAUUCGUGGUGUAGCGGUGAAAUGCUUAGAUAUCACGAAGAACCCCGAUUGCGAAGGCAGCUUGCUAAACUGUAACUGACGUUCAUGCUCGAAAGUGUGGGUAUCAAACAGGAUUAGAUACCCUGGUAGUCCACACGGUAAACGAUGGAUACUCGCUGUUGGCGAUAUACUGUCAGCGGCCAAGCGAAAGCAUUAAGUAUCCCACCUGGGGAGUACGCCGGCAACGGUGAAACUCAAAUGAAUUGACG
RNAcentral lists this ribosomal RNA (917 nucleotides) under uncultured bacterium. RNAcentral's name for it is "bacterial SSU rRNA". It matches the Rfam family "Bacterial small subunit ribosomal RNA", at positions 1 to 915 of the family's 1533-position model. The record is from RNAcentral.